UUCGAAAAUUUUGAUAAAACUCUAUCCCCAUCAUUUUAAAGUGUUAAUGUAUUCCCAGACAUACAUGUGUCUAUACACACCCCGAUCCAGGAUAUAACCUUCGCUAAUAACUAUCUCUGUAUGCGCAUGCUCCAACUUACAGACUGCAAUUGACAAAGGAAUAUAGUUCAUAUUUUGAUCGAAUAAAGGCUUUCUAAAUAAUAGUAUAUUUAGCUUGAAAUAUAUAAUUAUCAAGAAAAAGUAGACAUAUUAACUAUACAUGUAUACACACGCACAUUUAACGAUAUGACACACCAUUCAUCAACGCUAUUGCCUUCCUACCAAUGACCACCACCACUGACUUCCUAACAAUAGCUGUGAUUUAUACGAGACAAUCUUUAGAUGAAUCCCUGAAAGGAUGGACAGCUAAGUUGAUCUCAGUGGAAUUUAAACUCAUAAUGUAAAGACAGACGAAAUGCCACUAAGCAUUUUGCUUGGCAUGCUAAUGAUUCUGCCAGCUCACUGCCUUAACACCAAUUAUAAUUGAAAAUCAAUUAUAUGUAACACAAAUUAAAAUCAAAACAGUCUGAAAGGAUUGAUUUUCAUAACAAUAUGGAGCAAGAGACAGAAGAAACGUAUAGACACAGUGAUAUUGUUAACAUUUCGAUUAAAAAAACUGAAACAUCUAUUGAAAUUAACACUGAGUCUGAAAGGAUUGAUUUUCCUAGUAAGACACUGCAAGAAAAAGGAGAAACAUCUACUCACAGUGAUAACUUUAGUAUGUCAAUCUCUCAAGCAAGUCCCAGAACUGCUCACACUACAGGAGAGAAGCCAUAUCAUUGUGAUGUCUGUGGUAAAUCAUUUUCUAAAGUGUAUGCCCUAACUAAACACAUACGUGUACACACAGGCGAGAAACCAUAUCGUUGUGAUGUCUGUGGUAAAUUGUCCUCUACAAAGAGUGGCUUAGAUGUACACAACCGCAUUCACACUGGUGAAAAACCAUAUCAAUGUGAUGUUUGUGGGAGAUCGUUUUCUGGAAGAAGUAAUUUAACAAAACACAAACAUAUUCAUACAGGAAAGAAGCCAUAUCCCUGUGAUAUUUGUAGCAAAUCAUUCACUGAAAGAAAUGCCUUAACUGUACACAAAAGCACUCAUACAGGAGAAAAGCCAUUUCAGUGUGAUAUUUGUGGUAAAUCAUUCUCUCAUGUUGAUCUCUUAACUAUGCAUAAAAGCAUUCAUACAGGGGAAACACCAUAUCAUUGUGAUAUUUGUGGUAAAUUAUUCUCUCGAAGUGGUGAUUUAACUACUCACAUACGUGUUCAUACAGGAGAGAAACCACAUCACUGUGAUAUCUGUGGUAAAACAUUCUCUCAUAGUAAUGCCUUAACUAUACACAAACGCAUGCAUACAGGAGAGAAACCAUAUUCUUGUGAUAUUUGUGGUAAAUCAUUCACUUCAAAGAGUAAAGUAACAGUACACAAACGCAUUCAUACAGGAGAGAAACCAUAUCACUGUGAUAUCUGUGGUAAAUCAUUCUCCCAAAGUAGUGACUUAACUACUCACAAAUAUAUUCAUACUGGUGACACACCAUAUCACUGUGAUAUCUGUGGUAAAUCAUUCUCUAGAAGAGGACACUUAACUACUCACAAGUAUAUUCAUACUGGGGGAAAACCUUAUCUGUGUGAUGUGUGUGGUAAAGCUUUUGCCUUACGUAGUGAUUUAACUAUACACAUACGCACUCACACAGGAGAAAAGCCAUAUCACUGUGACAUUUGUGGUAAAUCAUUCUCUCAAAGUAGUGACUUAAAUACACACAAACGCAUUCAUACUGGGGAGAGGCCAUAUCCCUGUGAUAUCUGUGGUAAAUCAUUCUGUCGAAAAAGUGGCUUAACUAAACACGAACAUAUUCAUACACGAGAUAAACCAUAAUUCUGUGAUAUCUAUGGUGAAUCAUUCAUUAGAAAGUAUGUUACAUAGGAAAUGUUGAAUAAUGAAAAGAGCUCACAACAGAGAUGGUUUCUUGCAGUAGAGAAGCUAUGUAGCUAGUCACAUUAUAAAUGGGUGGAGUGACUGGGAUGGAAAUGGAAAGGGAAAUAAAAUAGUGAUGAUUAAGUGUUAGGGUGGAACUUUAAGGUAUGAGGUGAGUUGAAGGGAUGCGGACAGAUGAACUGGGAGAACAACUGUUGAGGGAUGAUAAAUGUAUGUUAGAUAAAAGGUAGGCAAUGACUAUAGAAAUUGAGUAAUAUUGAGGUGGGUGGAUGUAGUGAAAUUUCUAUAGUCAUUGCCUACCUUUUAUCUAACAUACAUUUAUCAUCCCUCAAUGAUACAUAUAUGUUCAGGCGAAGUAGGUGUAGAGAGAGAGAUGACAAAUAGUACAGAAAAUAGUGAAGAGCAAAACAAUAAUAAUAAUGAUAUAAUAGACAGGGUAAGGAUGAAUGAAAGAGAGAUUACAUGUGCUUGGGUAGUCAACAAGGGAAGCAAGUGUAGUUUAUUGGGGGAUCGAGGAGUGUAUGGUGGUGUAUAAAAUGAGAUAAUUUAUUUGCACAGAAGGGUGGUCCAUAUAAAAUGUGGGUAGCGAAGGACAGUGUUAAGCACAAACAAUGGAUAUCAAAUGAAUUGGUUCUGAUUAAUACAAAAGGUAAAUGGUAUGAGGGUAAAGCUGCUGAGGUAUGUAGUUCUGCUCAUGUUUAAUUACAGCAACUGAAUGCUGCUGCUGGUUGUUAGGUAGUUGAUAGGAGGGUUAGUGAUCAAGAGAUGAUGGGUGGUGGGGAUGGCCUGUAGAGGAAAUUGGAAGUGAAUUCUAUGUAUCUGCCUCAGGUUCUAAAAGCUACCAUCUCUAAGGAAACCAGUUGUAUUAUAUAUAUAUACUAGAUUACCCAAGCCAUCAAUAAUGAUAGUGGGUGUUGUACUAAACUUUGUAAUAAUUAUCACAUUUUGACUUGUAUGAGUGAAUAUAAAAUUUUUCUUAUUGGAUAUAUAUAUAUAUAUAUAUAUAUAUAUAUAUAUAUAUAUAUAUAUAUACAUAUAUAUAUAUAUAUAUAGUAUUGAAAAUUGUGCAUGAUGAAUGUUGCUAGUUUGAGUAUGAGAACAUCAAUAAAAAUGCCAAAAUAACUAGUAACGAAGAAAAUUAUUCUCCAGAUAUACAGGUUUUGAUUACUUUUAAUAUGUAUAUGUCAUAGUCAAUGAUUCACUCGUUAUUCUACAUUGUCAUUUUCUAUAAUAAAUGCUAUACCUAAUUUCACAAAUGUUCUAUAUGUAUUCAAAGCUACUAUAAUAUUUGCAUAUUUACCCAUGAGUACAUGAUCUUACAAACAGGUUACAUACAAUUUCUAGAGGUUUUCAAAGGACAGAAGGUUUAGCUUAAGCAAAAUCAGCACAUUUACAAUAUCUAUGCCACAUUCUGUGCAAGAGCUACAAAGGUAUAUUAUAAUCACUGUUAUUCACAUUCACUGCUAAAGUUCCUGAACAUUAAUAUUUCUUAUAUAGAUAUGAGGAAGUAUCAAAACAGCUUCGCCUUCUAAAUUUUCAACCUGUUAUUAAAAUAUUUCUGUUUUUUGUUCCACUUAAAUAAAGUGUAAAUAGGCUAGAGUUGAAUACAUGAUAACUUUCAGUACGUUGACUAUAAAAGGUAGUAGUGGAAGAUAUGAAAUAAAAUGUUUGACAAUAAAAUGACUAUAAAUACAAAUACGUAUAGCAUAUUAAAUAUAUAUUGUUGACACAUAGCAUAUUUCAUAUAUUGAUUAGAUUUACUAGUGAGAAAAAGGAGAAAAUAUGAUCAGAAUUUAUGAACAUAAAAAUAUUAGUUGACUAUUGUGAAACAAAGAAGAACAGAAUGAAUUUCUGAAUACAAAAAAAUAAACAUAAUGACUCUAGCCGAUAUCAAGUGAGACGAGCUCAACAGCUUCAAAUAAAGUUAUACAGACAAAUGACACAAAACAAGGUUAUGUCUCGGCUCCAGUUGUUGCACUAUUUUUCUCAGUGGUGCUCAAGUAUACCUUUAGUGAAAACAACACAGGUGUUAAAUUCCAAAUUUGGACUAGUGGUGGAUUCUUCAACCAUCAACAGUUCAAAGCUGAUCACAUAAUCAUUCAAGAUUUUUUUCACUGAUGAUACUGCUCCUGUAGAAACAUCUCUUUCUUGAGGAAGGCCAGAAAAUGUAAAUCACUUUCUCUGUAGCAAGCAAAUCUCUCAGGCUUACCAUCAGCAGGGGGAAAAAAUGCGGUGAUCCACCAGUUGUGCUCUAUGCCCAAAGAAAUAUGAGGUGCAAAACAAAAUCCACCAUUUCCCAGACACCCAUAUAAAGGUUGACAAAAAGGAUCUCAUGUAUGUGAAAUCAUUCACAAAUCUUGAUUAUAUGGUGAGUUCAAAUGCCUCUGCUGAUGAGAUAAUCAAUCAUAUAGGGAAAGCUACCAGUGCAUUUGGCAAACUUCAUUAUUGCCUAUAGAAUGAGAGGGAUAUAAAAGUAGACACAAAGAUACAGGUCUACAAAGCUGUUGUACUGACCAAACUUAAGAAUUAGAAUCUUAGACUACAUAUAGAUUGCACAUCAACCAACUAGACAUCUUUGAUGAACGUUCUCUUCAGACGAUUUGUGGUUACACUCUAGGGGGCAAAAUAUCAAAUCCCAACCUCUUCAUAUAGUGUAAAACUAGAAACUGAAAUUUUUCUUAUGCAAUUACAACUAUGCUGGGCUGGUCAUGUCAUCAGAAUGACUAACAAAAGAAUACCUAAAGUUUUCAUGUAUAGCCAGUUUGAUAAUAUACACAAAUGUUGGACAACCAUGGCUCAAGUACAGCUGAAGAGUUAUCUUUCAACAAUCGAUAUACCUACACAGUAUUUGUAGAAAAUUUUGUUAAAAAGUAUUCAUAUUUCUGGAUGUUAUGAAGUAACAAAGUCGGGGACGUAUACAUCUGUAGUAAUGUCCUUUUAUUUAUACAAUUUUUUCAUUUCAUGUUUAUUUCAUUCAUUCUUUGCAAUGUUCUCUCCCUCACACACACACACUUACAGAUGGGCUGCUGAACUGAAAUCUCUAUGUUGCUUUGAGGGGAAGGUAAAACUUAACAAACUGCUUCCACCUCUGGUAACUCCUACUCAAACCAAAACUUUUGACACUCUAAAACAUGAGCUUUCUAAAGCAUGUCUCAUUGCACACCCGAUGCAAAGCUUUCGCUUGUGGUUGAUGCUUCAGACACUGCAACUAGUUCUGUUUUACAGCAAUUUCAUCAGCAACAUUUGCAAACCUCUUACUUUUGCUUUGCAGUCCAAGCCAGAAAAGUACUCACCAAGUAAGACUAGAUACCUUCACUUUAUAUUACAUUUCACCAAUGAUAUUCAACACAUCUCUGAUGCACAAAACACUGCUGCAGAUGCAUUGUCCUAUUUGCCAAUUCUUUAGUAUCCGCUGUGGAUAUUGUCCUGAAUAUUUUGUCUGUUGAGCAACCCCCUCUAGACUCAAAAUAAGAUAACUUCUGAAUUUGCGAUGUGCAAAUUCAAAUACUUGCUUGUGCAAACCUCUGACAGGCAGAUCCUGUGUGAUAUAUCAACAGAUUUGCCUUGUCCCUUCAUCAUAGAGACCCAUAGACGAGCUUUUUUUUGAAGCCCUGCAUAAUCUAUCACAUCCUGGAGCCUCAGUGAAGCACACUACAGCUAGAUUUUUCUGGCUGAAAAUGAGAUGUGACAUCACUGACUACUCUUGAAUUUGCUUCCACUGCCAAAAGUCAAAGGUGCAUAAACACAUUCGUGCACCCAUGGCACCUUCAGCACACUAGAUGCACAUUUCCGCCACAUCCACAUUGUCUUGUUGGACCCUGGCCAAUCAGACUGUAUAUAUAUGAACUUACCCUAAGUGUCUGUCAUUUUCUCAUUUUUAUAUAUUUGCCUUUUCUUGCAUAUGUAAUAUUGCUUUUCCUGAUGUAUUCAUGUUUUUCCCCAGUUUGCACAUUUUCUUCUGCGUUUUCUCUUUGACGUUAGAUACAGAUGCAGGUAAGAAUACACACACAGUCCCACACAUGUAUAAGCCCAUGGACAUGGUUAUAAAAUCAAAAAAUAACAGUACUCAUGACUUUAGGAAACGCUUUUUCACGCCUAGAAAUACUGAAGCAGAGAAUAAACCAACGGCAUCAGUCGUUAGCUGCCAGGUCACUACAUCCUUCCAAAUUUCCACGCUCCCCAAACUUCGCCAACACUGCACUUGAUAUUCCUUUUUUUUUUUUUAAAUUUAAUAACUCAUUCACUUGUCUGACUUUUUAUACAUUACUAGUGGAAGUUCUAUGCCCAUGUACUGUACAUGCAUUUUUGGUUACCUUUUCUGAUGGGUUGUAGUGUACUGGGCGUCUAAGUUUAUUAUUAUUAUAUGUACACGUGCUCAUACACACACCAAUACAAGACUGUAAACAUCUCUAUGCGCAUGCUCCGACUUCAGUCUGCCAUGAAAAGAAAACGAAGUUAAUAUUUUGAUCGAAUAAAGGCUUUCUAAAGAAUAGUAUAUUUGGCUUGAAACACAAUUAUCAAAACAAAAGUAGACAUAUUAACCUACGAUGCAUAUACAUACUCACACAUAACGAUAAAUGUAUAUAACAAUAAGACUUUCCAUUGAUCAACGCCACUGCCUUCCUACUAAUGACUGAUUUAUACAAGGCGGUGCUCCUGCAUGGCCGCAGUCAAAUGAUUGAAACAAGUAAAAGAAUACACACAUGGACUCACUUGGUGCGAGGUUUUAAAAUUUACAAUUUCAAUUUUUUUGCUGUUACUUAAAUCCAAGCAAUGCAUCGUCCUUCAGCCAAACAAAACCUUUGUGGUACAUCCGCAUCAUCAUUCGGUAAAAUGUGUUUAUGCGGGCAAAAUAUUGAAAAACACCAAUACAUAUCAGAGUGACAAAGAAACGAGGAAGGUACUACAUGGUCGUGGAUGGCUAGAAACAACAGCUAAGUCGCCCUUAAGUCAUCACCUUUCCAUCUGAAAAUGAAGGUCGCGAUGGAAAGUGAUAUGCCCUAAUGAAAAAUAGUUGGGAUGUGUCUGAGAUAUAACUAUAGGGGUGUGUGGGGGAAAAUGUGUAAUUUCUAAUUUCUUGUUAUUUUCUCUCUGUCUGUUUGAAACCGUUACAUUGCAAGUAUUAUAUCAUCAUUUUAUAUAUUGUUGCAUCAUUGGGAUUUAAAAUUGGUUAGUAUAGUUAUUGUUAAAGCUAAGAGGGUUUGAAACAGUCAGGUGACAGGUAGUUUUUUUUUUCAAAUUUUCCCUCAACUUUGUCCUGAUUGUAAUUGAGGAUAAUUUUUAAUGUUUAACAAUGAAUAUUCUUUUUUUCUGUUUUAUUUCAAGUCAAUUUUUCCAGCACUAAUGUCUAAUUUGAUCAUUUUCAAUUUUCACAAUACUUGUGCUGGUGACACAUAAAAGGCAUCUGUUACACUCUUGAAGCAGUUGGCGAUAGGAAUGGAAUCCAACCAUAGAAACCAAGCCAAACCAGACUGGGACUUGGUGUAGCUUUCAGGUUUACUAGUUUUAGUCAAACUGUCUAACCACACCUUUAAAUUCUUCUCUUUCCCCACAGUUUAUUACUGAAGUUUAACAUAUAUAAUAUUACAUAGUCUCAAAUUGUAGCUGUAAUCUUUAAAUAUGUAGACUUCACACAAGGUUGUAUGAAGUAAUUUUAAUAGAAAAUUAUAAAGUAAAUGUUAAUUGAUCAUGUAAAAGAUUGUAUUUAUGAUAUAUUGAUAUUUUCUGCUGGUGAAUCUCUAUGUUUAAGUAUCUUGUGUAUCUUAUACUAUUUC
Molecule: unclassified non-coding RNA, 7742 nt
Organism: Octopus bimaculoides (California two-spot octopus)
Lineage: Eukaryota; Metazoa; Mollusca; Cephalopoda; Octopoda; Octopodidae
Source: RefSeq, a predicted model, not a curated record